GCUGGAGGAUGCUGCUAUUUGGUUUGGAUUUAGGCAUGCAAGUUGUUUGCUUUAGCAUUUAUGUUAAGGUGAAGGCGAACUGCUCAGUAACACGUAGUUAAUCUAACCUUGAGCGAGGGAUAAGCACGGGAAACUGUGUCUAAUACCUCAUAGAAGUUUGGUUCUGGAAUGAUCUUACUUUGAAACAUCCGGCUCAAGGAUGAGACUGCGCCUGAUUAGCUUGUUGGUGGGGUAACUGCCUACCAAGGCGAUGAUCAGUAGGGGCUCUUAGCGGAGUGGCCCCGAGAAGGAAUCUGAGACACUAUUCCUAGCUCUACGGAGUGCAGCAGCUGCGAAUUUUUUACAAUGCACGAAAGUGUGAUAAAGCGAGCCAAAGUGCUUAUCGUACAGAUAAGCUUUUCUUUAGCGUAAAAACCUAGAGGAAUAAGGACUGGGAAAGACCGGUGCCAGCCGCCGCGGUAAUACCGGCAGUUCGAGUGGCAUCCAUUUUUAUUGGGUCUAAAACAUCCGUAGCUUGUUAUUUAAGUCUCUUGUGAAAUCUAAUGUCUCAAGCAUUUGGCUUGCAGGAGAUACUGAAUAACUAGAGACCGGUAGGCGUAAGGAGUACGGGGAAGGUAGUGGUAAAAUACGUUAAUCUUCCUUGGACUAACAAUUUAGCGAAGGCACCUUACGAGGACGGAUCUGACAGUGAGGGAUGAAGGCCAGGGGCGCAAAACGGAUUAGAUACCCGUGUAGUCCUGGCAGUAAACACUGUUCACUAAACAUCGGGCCCUCUUCGGGAGGAUUCGGUGCUGAAGCGAAGGCGAAGAGUGAACUACCUGGGAAGUAUAGUCGCAAGGUCGAAACUUAAAGGAAUUGGCGGGGAGACAUACAACGAGUGACGCGUGCGGUUCAAUUAGAUUCUACACCGUGAACCUCACCAGGAGCGACAGCAGGAUGAAGGUCAGUCUAAAGGGCUUACCUGACACGCUGAGCGGAGAUGCAUGGCCGACGUCAGCCUGUGUCGUGAGAUGACCUGUUAAAUCAGGUAACAGGCGAGACCCGUGUCAAUAAUUACUACAGAAAUGGGUACAUUAUUGAGACUGCUCUGGUAACAGAGAGGAAGGUGCGGGCUACGUUAGGUGAGUACGUCCCUAAUCCCCUGGACUACACGCGCGCGGCAAUGGUACAUUCAAUGAGAUGCGACUCCGAGAGGAGAAGCUAAUCCCCUAAAGUGUAUCUCAGUCCAGAUCGAGGGUUGCAACCCACCCUCGUGACGUUGGAAUUCGUAGUAAUCGGAUUUUAGCACAGUCCGGUGAAUAAGUCCCUGUCUCUUGCACACACCGCCCGUCAAACCAACCGAGUUGUGUAGGGGUGAAGUUCGUCAGAGAAGAACCUUUGCACGACAAGGUAGGUUAAGUCGACACAAGGUA
Molecule: ribosomal RNA, 1412 nt
Filed under: metagenome
Description: bacterial SSU rRNA
Rfam family: Archaeal small subunit ribosomal RNA
Source: RNAcentral